Long non-coding RNA from Nicotiana tabacum (common tobacco), 2555 nucleotides. RefSeq lists it as uncharacterized. The record is from RefSeq and is a predicted model, not a curated record. NCBI's taxonomy places the organism in Eukaryota, Viridiplantae, Streptophyta, Magnoliopsida, Solanales, Solanaceae.
CCCAAACCCGCCAGAGACACCCCGAAUCCGCUGGUCCCCUCCCCUGCUCCUCUCUCCUUCUUCCACGUCACACUCCGUACGAAGCUUCAUCAUUUCUACGCGUUUUCUUGCUCUCCAAGUUCGAAUCGAAUGAAUGGGGGCCGUAGAUUGAAUGAAUGUCAAUCUAGACCCUCCAUUUGUUCGAUUUCGAACUAUAAAAAGAGAGAAAUCAGAGGAAUUCGGGGGUUUUUUUUGGAGAGAAUUUUCGAAGAAAAAUCAGAGAAGAGAGAGUUCGGAAAACGAGAGGGCUAGAAAAUAUUAAAAAAAAAAGUAUAUUAGCCUCUGAUUUGUUCAACAAGAAUGGAGUUUAGUUAAUGUCCGUUGACUGCUCGUGAGGUUCUUGUUCGUGGUUCCAAAUCCAUUUUCGUUGCUGUUUUGUCCUGCUACUGGUUCGCGAUAUUGCUGUUAUUUUGCUGGAAUUUGGAGUAAAAGCUUUGUAUACGCCGAAUCUUCUGUUCUAUCGAAAGCUUAAGCUUCAACAGAAUCUGAUCAUACGGCCUUAAGGAACUGAGAACAGGAAGGGUAAGUCAAGGAACUGAAAUGAUCUGAUUGGAAAGUUUAAUAGGCUGUUAACAAGUCCAUUCGUGGCUUCACUGAGUCUUUUCUGACUUCCUUCUGAAUUUUGUCUCGUUUGGUUGUCGAUGUAUCUAGCUUGAUGUGUUUGAAGUAUUUCUUUGGUUCAAGUUAUGAUUGAAAGUUUGCUUUGUAAAUGAGCGUUAUGUGGAAUUAAAAUGAGACGAAGAGAUCUUUUUAGUUUAAAAUUAAUCCUUCAUGCAGUAGUAAUGUUACUUCUAGUAGAUUAGAAAGUAUUUUCAGUCCCAGGAGAUUAAGGAGUGUGCUGCCAUAUGAAUCAUCUUAGUAUUUUGUUGGGGUAACUUGAUAAAUGUUGGAGUAAAAAAGACGUGGAUCGAUUAUUUUGUGUGAUUAAAUUAUGAGCCUUUCGGGAUGGGGCCGCAGCAAAGUUGAGGAUUUAAUAAGGACUCGGGGUGUUGGGAAGUCUUUAAUGGCUCUUCCGAUGCUUCUGAUCCAUUUUACCAUUAUUAGUUGUUUCAACUUUCCUUCAUUUUGUCUCUUCAGUUGUUUUGAAUGCUUUCUGCUGUGUCGUUUUGUUGGAUCCAUAUUAAUGCUUGCUUGAUGAUUUGGCCGGGGAGUUGGGAUCUUAAAGAAAACAGAAUUGAAAUUUAGAGAACAUGUUCACUAUUUUAUUUUAUUGUUCUAAUCGCUAGUAGCAUGCUUAGGCCGACCACACUUGGGUAAGCAAGCCUUAGGAAUUUUGUUAGUUUCGAGGCGAGAGGUCGUUCCCUUAGUUAAAUUUAUCCGAGGAAUGCCCCGAAGGACUUGUAUAUAUUUUAUUCCGGGAAUGCCCCGUAGUACUUAUAUUUGGAGGCCAAAAGUAGAGCUUGCAGUAUUUUAUUUUUAUUUUUAUUUUUCUUUUAUUAGGUGGCGACUCUGAGUUAAUCCUUUUGAACACACAAUUUUGUCACUUUUCAAAUUGAAAACCUUUUUCAAGCUUUUACUAAAUCGUUUUAUUAUUUUAAGAGGGUUUAGUAAGGUUUGGUUAAAAAGGGGGUGUGACAAUAUUUUCCAGACACUUUUCUCAUCUAAUUUUAGACGCAUUUUUAUUAUAUUACUAGUCUCUCGGCACGUGCGUUGUACGUGUAUACCACGUCAUAUAAUACAUGAUUUAGUAAAAUAUUCCUUUUGGUAAAAUAGAAAAAAAAUUAAUAGCAAAUUACAUUUCCCCUUGAGCAACUAAUCUAUAAAGGAAACCAAUAGAAAAUGUACAUUAACGCUGACUCGAACAAAUAGUGUUAGGGAGAAAUUAAGCUACAAAAGAAAUCUAUUAGAAAAUAUGUACUAAGUUUGGAUUUAAAAGCAACAAAUUAAGUCUCAUUAGCUUUAUAUCAAAAGUAAAGUUUGAUAUGUGCAGGAAACAUAUACAUUAUCAAUUUCGGUAUUUUUUGAAUGGUGUGGUUGAUUGGUUUAUUAUCUUUUAUUUUUUUAAAGAAAUUUCAUAGGCAUUUUUAACAAAAUCUCAUGAUAAAGUAAUAGUUGAUCAAACCUACAUUUUGAAAUUAGAAAUUGCAUAAUUACAUUAACUUAUCUAGCUAUAUAGUAAAUCAAAUGAACAGUUUUUAUGAGAGCUUUUGUACUUUUAACUUAUCUUUCAUUUGUUAAUAGUUUAUCUUUUUUCAUAUUUUGUACUCUUUUCGGGCAAUAACUCCAUUAUCGAGUAAAACAUUUUAGUAUGCACAAUGUUUACUAAAUGAGUUAAAAUUUCUUUGAAUGAAACAAUGCUAAAGAUCUCACGUCAAAACGAUUCAUCAUCUAUGUACUAAUUACACUAAACAAUAAAUAUUCUAUCAAAGAGUAAUUUUUUUCAAUAUUUUUUGUUUCUUCAGUUGUUAGUUGGCUUUACUAUAAUAUAUGAGACACAUAACACUACUCUAUAAGCGCUCCUUUCUCAACGUAAACCUUUAGGGUUGUAAAUAAUAAUGAGAAUAUGGUUGACCUCA